This is a long non-coding RNA of Mytilus californianus (California mussel), 350 nucleotides long. RefSeq lists it as uncharacterized. The record is from RefSeq and is a predicted model, not a curated record. The transcript has 2 exons. Lineage: Eukaryota; Metazoa; Mollusca; Bivalvia; Mytilida; Mytilidae.
UAUCUGUUUGAAUUUUUACAUUUUUCAGAUAUUUUCAGCGUUGGUAGGUGGUCAUCAGAAAUUCUUUCACCACACCAGCCAUUACAAAAUUUAGCAAAAUGUCUUCCAGAAUUUUGUCUUCACUCUAGAGCUGAAAGCACUCGGAAGAAGUACAGAUUGGUGUAUAUUUGUAUGUAUUAAUGGUUGGCUGACUGUGAUCGAGCCUGUAUGACUGUUUUUAUACCUAAUUAAUAACGACUGAGAUUAAGCCGUAAUGUGCUUAAAAUGAACUUUGAAACGAACUGUUUGAUUUAUAUUAUACAUUGGUUAAUAAAAAGUAUGCUACCCUCACAAGGAGAGCUCAUUUCUGA